GCUUAACGCGAAGAACCUUACCAAGGCUUGACAUAUACGAGAACGCUGCAGAAAUGUAGAACUCUUUGGACACUCGUAUACAGGUGGUGCAUGGUUGUCGUCAGCUCGUGUCGUGAGAUGUUGGGUUAAGUCCCGCAACGAGCGCAACCCUCGUCGUAUGUCGCCAGCACGUAAUGGUGGGAACUCAUAUGAGACUGCCGGGGUCAACUCGGAGGAAGGUGGGGAUGAGGUCAAAUCAUCAUGCCCCUUAUGUCUUGGGCUUCACGCAUGCUACAAUGGCCGGUACAAAGGGCUGCAAUACCGCAAGGUGGAGCGAAUCCCAAAAAGCCAGUCUCAGUUCGGAUUGAGGUCUGCAACUCGACCUCAUGAAGUCGGAGUCGCUAGUAAUCGCAGAUCAGCAACGCUGCGGUGAAUACGUUCCCGGGUCUUGUACACACCG
This 439-nucleotide ribosomal RNA is filed under the name uncultured bacterium. Its description in RNAcentral is "bacterial SSU rRNA". It matches the Rfam family "Bacterial small subunit ribosomal RNA", at positions 954 to 1392 of the family's 1533-position model. The record is from RNAcentral.